CUACGGGCGGCUCCAGUAAGGAAUAUUGCGCAAUGGAGGCAACUCUGACGCAGCCAUGCCGCGUGCAGGAAGAAGGCCUUAUGGGUCGUAAACUGCUUUUAUUUAGGAAUAAACCCCCGAACGUGUUCGGGGCUGAAGGUACUAAACGAAUAAGCACCGGCUAACUCCGUGCCAGCAGCCGCGGUAAUACGGAGGGUGCAAGCGUUAUCCGGAUUUAUUGGGUUUAAAGGGUGCGCAGGCGGGCUAUUAAGUCAGUGGUGAAAUCCCGGGGCUCAACUCCGGAACUGCCAUUGAUACUGAUAGUCUUGAGUUUGGUUGAAGUGGGCGGAAUGUAGCAUGUAGCGGUGAAAUGCAUAGAUAUGCUACAGAACACCAAUCGCGAAGGCAGCUCACUAAGCCAAAACUGACGCUCAUGCACGAAAGCGUGGGGAUCAAACAGGAUUAGAUACCCCUGUAGUC
RNAcentral lists this ribosomal RNA (459 nucleotides) under uncultured bacterium. RNAcentral's name for it is "partial 16S ribosomal RNA". It matches the Rfam family "Bacterial small subunit ribosomal RNA", at positions 339 to 795 of the family's 1533-position model. The record is from RNAcentral.